CCUACGGGGGGCAGCAGUGAGGAAUAUUGGUCAAUGGACGAGAGUCUGAACCAGCCAAGUAGCGUGAAGGAUGACUGCCCUAUGGGUUGUAAACUUCUUUUAUAUGGGAAUAAAACAGGGUAUGCAUACCCUCUUGUAUGUACCAUAUGAAUAAGGAUCGGCUAACUCCGUGCCAGCAGCCGCGGUAAUACGGAGGAUCCGAGCGUUAUCCGGAUUUAUUGGGUUUAAAGGGAGCGUAGGUGGAUUGUUAAGUCAGUUGUGAAAGUUUGCGGCUCAACCGUAAAAUUGCAGUUGAAACUGGCAGUCUUGAGUACAGUAGAGGUGGGCGGAAUUCGUGGUGUAGCGGUGAAAUGCUUAGAUAUCACGAAGAACUCCGAUUGCGAAGGCAGCUUACCAAACUAUAUCUGACGUUGAGGCACGAAAGCGUGGGUAGCAAACAGGAUUAGAUACCCUGGUAGUC
Molecule: ribosomal RNA, 460 nt
Filed under: uncultured bacterium
Lineage: Bacteria
Description: partial 16S ribosomal RNA
Rfam family: Bacterial small subunit ribosomal RNA
Source: RNAcentral